CAAAAUUAAGAAGAAUGGCGCGCACACACACACAUACACACAAAAAACGAAAGUAGACUAAAUAAUGUAAUGUAGGUAGGCCGUGAAUGGCCUCACACACCAGUACAGUAGGUGGCGGUAUAUGCGAACUGCCAACCACAUCCUAAAGAAGAAGAAGAAGAACAGACGUAAACAAAGAGCACGUCGCACAGAUUCAUUCAAACGAGAGCAGGUCCACUGACGGUUCAACCACAGCGUCAGAAAUGCCGAUAUGGAGGUGCACUACAAGCAGAAAUACAAAAAUCUCAAACGCAAAUUGAAAUUCAUGGUUUAUGAGCAGGAGUGUUUUCAGGAAGGGCUCAGAAGAUCCCAGAGGAAGCUGCUCAAAGUGUCCAGAGAUAAAAGUUUUCUGUUGGACCGAUUGUUACAAUACGAGCAGGUGGACGAGGACUCCUCAAAUUCUAAUGCCACAGCCUCUUCUGAGAACAGUGAAGGAGAGGGCACCAGGGAGAGAGACGGAGGAAAGAAGAGAAGUAGCCCUGGUGUAGGCCUUCCUUCAUCCUCCCAUCUCUCUCUCUCUCUCGUUCUGGAGUGAAUCCUCUCCAGUCGUCCGGCAGUACCCCCUACCUCAACACAUUUCCAGCGUAUUUGGCUCCACCAGCUGGGAGAAUGAAGAAAGAGAGAAUGACAAAGGCGCCCAAACACAAGAAAGAGACAUCGGGGAAGCGCCUCGUUCAACUGGGUGCCCAGGCAGAUGCUGAGUGGAGAUGCGGCAGAGGAGGAGGGAGAGAGUGACAGAGACUCAGACGGAGGAGACGACGACAGGGGGGAAGGAGAAGAGGCUGACCUUGUCAUCGAUAUCCCCAACGAGUGAAGUGUGUGUGUGUGUGUGUGUGUGUGUGUGUGUGUGUGUGUGUAAAGGAUUGUUUGAAAGAGUGUGUAAGACCAUAAUGUGAGUCUGGAUUCAACCCCUCCCACUGUCAAAUGCUUAGCCAAGCUCCCCCCAUUGGACCUUCAGGUUACUGCAACAAUAUUUCUCUCUCACAAUGUGUUACUAAUCGACUCCUUUAAUGUCAUUUUACUGCCUUCUACUGUUAUACAAGUCAUGGAAGAAAUGGUAUUGAAGGCAUGGACAGCAACAGGACUGUAUACAUGUAGCACCUACCUUUUUAUACAAAACUGUCAAAUUAGGAAUUUUCUGUUGGAGAUAAUGGAGAUGUUAUGUUUUCUACCAAUGACUUUCCAAAAUUAAAUUGCAUUAAAGUGGUAACAUUUCA
This is a non-coding RNA of Salmo salar (Atlantic salmon), 1256 nucleotides long. Lineage: Eukaryota; Metazoa; Chordata; Actinopteri; Salmoniformes; Salmonidae. The record is from RefSeq and is a predicted model, not a curated record.